GUGCCAGCCGCCGCGGUAAUACGUAGGUGGCAAGCGUUAUCCGGAAUUAUUGGGCGUAAAGCGCGCGUAGGCGGUUUUUUAAGUCUGAUGUGAGAGCCCACGGCUCAACCGUGGAGGGUCAUUGGAAACUGGAAAACUUGAGUGCAGAAGAGGAAAGUGGAAUUCCAUGUGUAGCGGUGAAAUGCGCAGAGAUAUGGAGGAACACCAGUGGCGAAGGCGACUUUCUGGUCUGUAACUGACGCUGAUGUGCGAAAGCGUGGGGAUCAAACAGGAUUA
This 276-nucleotide ribosomal RNA is filed under the name uncultured Staphylococcus sp. RNAcentral's name for it is "partial 16S ribosomal RNA". It matches the Rfam family "Bacterial small subunit ribosomal RNA", at positions 505 to 780 of the family's 1533-position model. The record is from RNAcentral. Lineage: Bacteria; Bacillati; Bacillota; Bacilli; Caryophanales; Staphylococcaceae.